CGCAGCCUUCGGGGCAGGGUGAGGGCCGAGAGGCCCAAUUCCCGAUCGGCGGUAGAGCCCGCGAGCGCCACAGGCGCAUGAUCCGGUGUGAUUCCGGAGCCGACGGUAAAGUCCGGAUGGAAGAAGGCGGCA
This 132-nucleotide non-coding RNA is filed under the name Chloroflexota bacterium. Its description in RNAcentral is "Chloroflexi bacterium FMN sequence". It matches the Rfam family "FMN riboswitch aptamer (RFN element)". Rfam says of the family: The RFN element is a highly conserved domain that is found frequently in the 5'-untranslated regions of prokaryotic mRNAs that encode for flavin mononucleotide (FMN) biosynthesis and transport proteins. This element is a metabolite-dependent riboswitch that directly binds FMN in the absence of proteins. The record is from RNAcentral. Lineage: Bacteria; Bacillati; Chloroflexota.